RNAcentral lists this small RNA (27 nucleotides) under Bombyx mori (domestic silkworm). Its description in RNAcentral is "piRNA piR-bmo-1909690". Lineage: Eukaryota; Metazoa; Arthropoda; Insecta; Lepidoptera; Bombycidae. The record is from RNAcentral.
CAACGAACGUGUUAAUGUGUGUGCAAC